Molecule: ribosomal RNA, 883 nt
Filed under: Yersinia pestis
Lineage: Bacteria; Pseudomonadati; Pseudomonadota; Gammaproteobacteria; Enterobacterales; Yersiniaceae
Description: partial 23S ribosomal RNA
Rfam family: Bacterial large subunit ribosomal RNA
Source: RNAcentral
AAAUGCACAGGCUGUGAACUCGAUGAGUAGGGCGGGACACGUGACAUCCUGUCUGAAUAUGGGGGGACCAUCCUCCAAGGCUAAAUACUCCUGACUGACCGAUAGUGAACCAGUACCGUGAGGGAAAGGCGAAAAGAACCCCGGCGAGGGGAGUGAAAUAGAACCUGAAACCGUGUACGUACAAGCAGUGGGAGCACCUUCGUGGUGUGACUGCGUACCUUUUGUAUAAUGGGUCAGCGACUUAUAUUUUGUAGCAAGGUUAACCGAAUAGGGGAGCCGUAGGGAAACCGAGUCUUAACUGGGCGUCUAGUUGCAAGGUAUAGACCCGAAACCCGGUGAUCUAGCCAUGGGCAGGUUGAAGGUUGGGUAACACUAACUGGAGGACCGAACCGACUAAUGUUGAAAAAUUAGCGGAUGACUUGUGGCUGGGGGUGAAAGGCCAAUCAAACCGGGAGAUAGCUGGUUCUCCCCGAAAGCUAUUUAGGUAGCGCCUCGUGAACUCAUCUUCGGGGGUAGAGCACUGUUUCGGCUAGGGGGCCAUCCCGGCUUACCAAACCGAUGCAAACUCCGAAUACCGAAGAAUGUUAUCACGGGAGACACACGGCGGGUGCUAACGUCCGUCGUGAAGAGGGAAACAACCCAGACCGCCAGCUAAGGUCCCAAAGUCAUGGUUAAGUGGGAAACGAUGUGGGAAGGCACAGACAGCCAGGAUGUUGGCUUAGAAGCAGCCAUCAUUUAAAGAAAGCGUAAUAGCUCACUGGUCGAGUCGGCCUGCGCGGAAGAUGUAACGGGGCUAAACCAUGCACCGAAGCUGCGGCAGCGACGUUUAGGCGUUGUUGGGUAGGGGAGCGUUCUGUAAGCCGUUGAAGGUGACCUGUGAGGG